RNAcentral lists this non-coding RNA (28 nucleotides) under Mus musculus (house mouse). Lineage: Eukaryota; Metazoa; Chordata; Mammalia; Rodentia; Muridae. The record is from RNAcentral.
UGACAAAUGUGCCUCAGGUUGUAAACUA